This 413-nucleotide long non-coding RNA is filed under the name Marmota monax (woodchuck). The record is from RNAcentral. Lineage: Eukaryota; Metazoa; Chordata; Mammalia; Rodentia; Sciuridae.
UUUAGUUUUAGGUGGACAGAAUAUCUUUAUUUUAUUUCUUUGUGGUGCUGAGAAUCGAACCCAGUGCCUCAUACAUGCUAGAUGAGCGCACUACCACUUGAGCUACAUCCCCACAUCCUCUUCUUUCCACUUCAUCUUAGGCACUGUUGUCAAAUAAAUUUUCUCUUUCUUUUUUGAGCCAGGUUUCUCCAUGUUGCCCAGGCUGACCUUGAUCUCCUGGACUUGACAUCCUCCCAGUUCCGUCUCCCACAUUGCUGGAACUACAAGCAUAUUGCCAUCACACUCAGCUAUUGUUUUUAACUUAUCCCAUCUCUCCACCUCUAAAACUGUGAGCUCGGCAAGGGUAGGGGCCAGAUGCAUCUCUGGUGACUAGCCUACAUCCUGGGGUAGACAUUCAAUUAUAUUUGUUGUCC